AAAUUAGUUACUGACUUCCCAGAAAAGAGACUUACCGCACUGGAGUUCAGAUCACUGAAGCUUAAUGGGUCUGCUGGCUCUUUUCUGACAGGUGAACACCUUUGUGCUUUUCCGGGUGGUGGUGGUGACUGUGUCCAGUGCUCGCAGGAGGGCAAAGAUGCUGACACCCAACAGCAGCCUGGAGAACCAGAUUGGAAUACAAAUAUGGGCCACAGCCAAACCCAUCUUGGUGCUGCUGCCUGUGCUGGGACUGACAUGGGUGUGUGGGAUCCUUGUCCACCUCAGCAUCAUUUGGGCUUACGUCUUCAUUGUGCUCAAUUCCCUCCAGGGCCUUUAUAUAUUCCUGGUCUAUGCAAUCUAUAACAGUGAGGUA
Molecule: long non-coding RNA, 373 nt
Filed under: Chrysolophus pictus (golden pheasant)
Lineage: Eukaryota; Metazoa; Chordata; Aves; Galliformes; Phasianidae
Description: lncRNA (ENSCPIG00010009074.1)
Source: RNAcentral